CCCUUAGAUGUUCUGGGCUGCACGCGCGCUACACUGAUGCGAUCAACAAGUUUUUCCUAUGUCGAUAGACACGGGUAAUCUUUUGAACUCGCAUCGUGAUGGGGAUAGAUUAUUGUAAUUAUUAAUCUUCAACGAGGAAUUCCUAGUAGGUGCAAAUCAUCAGUUUGCAUCGAUUACGUCCCUGCCCUUUGUACACACCGCCCGUCGCUGCUACCGAUUGGUUGAUCUGGUGAAUUAUUCGGACUGCCGGCUGAAGGGGUUUCGUCAUCUGCCAGCGGAAAGUCUUGUUAACCCUAUCAACUAGAGGAAGCAGAAGUCGUAACA
This 324-nucleotide ribosomal RNA is filed under the name uncultured eukaryote. Its description in RNAcentral is "partial 18S ribosomal RNA". It matches the Rfam family "Eukaryotic small subunit ribosomal RNA", at positions 1470 to 1796 of the family's 1831-position model. The record is from RNAcentral.